AUUGAACGCUGGCGGCGUGCCUAACACAUGCAAGUCGAGCGGUAACAGGUGUAGCAAUACAUGCUGACGAGCGGCGGACGGGUGAGUAACGCUUGGGAAUCUGCCUAUUAGUGGGGGACAACCCGGGGAAACUCGGGCUAAUACCGCAUACGCUCUACGGAGGAAAGCCGGGGACCGCAAGGCCUGGCGCUAAUAGAUGAGCCCAAGUCGGAUUAGCUAGUUGGUAGGGAACGGCCUACCAAGGCUACGAUCCGUAACUGGUCUGAGAGGACGACCAGUCACACCGGAACUGAGACACGGUCCGGACUCCUACGGGAGGCAGCAGUGGGGAAUAUUGGACAAUGGGGGAAACCCUGAUCCAGCGACGCCGCGUGGGUGAAGAAGGCCU
Molecule: ribosomal RNA, 388 nt
Filed under: uncultured bacterium
Lineage: Bacteria
Description: bacterial SSU rRNA
Rfam family: Bacterial small subunit ribosomal RNA
Source: RNAcentral